Molecule: ribosomal RNA, 109 nt
Filed under: Masdevallia amanda
Lineage: Eukaryota; Viridiplantae; Streptophyta; Magnoliopsida; Asparagales; Orchidaceae
Also listed under: 2 other names
Description: partial 18S ribosomal RNA
Rfam family: Eukaryotic small subunit ribosomal RNA
Source: RNAcentral
GGGCGGUUCGCCGCCCGUGACUCUGCGAGAAGUCCAUUGAACCUUAUCAUUUAGAGGAAGGAGAAGUCGUAACAAGGUUUCCGUAGGUGAACCUGCGGAAGGAUCAUUG